AGAGUUUGAUCAUGGCUCAGGACGAACGCUGGCGGCGUGCUUAACACAUGCAAGUCGAGCGGAAAGGCCCUUCGGGGUACUCGAGCGGCGAACGGGUGAGUAACACGUGAGUAACCUGCCCCUAGCUCUGGGAUAGCUCCGGGAAACCGGGAUUAAUACCAGAUACGACCACUUUAGACAUCUGUCGUGGUGGAAAGGAUUCCGGCUAGGGAUGGGCUCGCGGCCUAUCAGCUUGUUGGUGGGGUAACGGCCUACCAAGGCGACGACGGGUAGCCGGCCUGAGAGGGCGACCGGCCACACUGGGACUGAGACACGGCCCAGACUCCUACGGGAGGCAGCAGUGGGGAAUAUUGCGCAAUGGGCGAAAGCCUGACGCAGCGACGCCGCGUGGGGGAUGAAGGCCUUCGGGUUGUAAACCCCUUUCAGCAGGGACGAAGCGAGAGUGACGGUACCUGCAGAAGAAGCGCCGGCUAACUACGUGCCAGCAGCCGCGGUAACACGUAGGGCGCAAGCGUUGUCCGGAAUUAUUGGGCGUAAAGAGCUCGUAGGCGGUCUGUUGCGUCCGCUGUGAAAUCUCGGGGCUUAACCCCGAGCCUGCAGUGGAUACGGGCAGACUAGAGGUAGGUAGGGGAGAAUGGAAUUCCUGGUGUAGCGGUGAAAUGCGCAGAUAUCAGGAGGAACACCGGUGGCGAAGGCGGUUCUCUGGGCCUUACCUGACGCUGAGGAGCGAAAGCGUGGGGAGCGAACAGGAUUAGAUACCCUGGUAGUCCACGCUGUAAACGUUGGGCGCUAGGUGUGGGAUCCUUCCACGGAUUCCGUGCC
Molecule: ribosomal RNA, 822 nt
Filed under: uncultured bacterium
Lineage: Bacteria
Description: bacterial SSU rRNA
Rfam family: Bacterial small subunit ribosomal RNA
Source: RNAcentral